RNAcentral lists this ribosomal RNA (512 nucleotides) under Parthenope longimanus. RNAcentral describes it as "partial large subunit ribosomal RNA". It matches the Rfam family "Bacterial large subunit ribosomal RNA", at positions 1831 to 2589 of the family's 2925-position model. The record is from RNAcentral. Lineage: Eukaryota; Metazoa; Arthropoda; Malacostraca; Decapoda; Parthenopidae.
GUCUAUUUGGAGAUAUAAAUAGUCUGGCCUGCUCACUGAUAUAAGAAAUUUAAGAGCCGCGGUAUUUUGACCGUGCAAAGGUAGCAUAAUCAUUAGUUUUUUAAUUGAGAACUUGUAUGAAUGGUCGGACAAAGGAAAAGCUGUCUCUGUUAUAAAGAUUGAAAUUAACUUUUAAGUGAAAAGGCUUAAAUAAUUCAAGGGGACGAUAAGACCCUAUAAAGCUUUAUAAAUUGAUUAAAUUUUAUUAAAUUAUAAGAUAAAGAUUUAGUUUAGUUGUUUUAUUUUAUUGGGGCGAUAAAAAUAUAAUUAAUAUUAACUGUUUAAAAGUUAUACAAUAAUAGUUGAAUAAAAAUUAAAAGAUCCUUUUUAAUGAUUUAAAGACUAAGUUACUUUAGGGAUAACAGCGUUAUUUUUUUUGAGAGUUCAUAUCGAAAAAAAAGUUUGCGACCUCGAUGUUGAAUUAAAAUAUCUUUAUGGCGUAGCCGUUAUAUAAGAGGGUCUGUUCGACCUUU